This 253-nucleotide ribosomal RNA is filed under the name uncultured bacterium. Its description in RNAcentral is "partial 16S ribosomal RNA". It matches the Rfam family "Bacterial small subunit ribosomal RNA", at positions 524 to 776 of the family's 1533-position model. The record is from RNAcentral.
UACGUAGGGUGCAAGCGUUGUCCGGAAUUAUUGGGCGUAAAGAGCUUGUAGGCGGUUUGUCGCGUCUGCUGUGAAAUUUCGGGGCUCAACCCCGAACUUGCAGUGGGUACGGGCAGACUAGAGUGUGGUAGGGGAGUCUGGAAUUCCUGGUGUAGCGGUGAAAUGCGCAGAUAUCAGGAGGAACACCGAUGGCGAAGGCAGUUCUCUGGGCCGUAACUGACGCUGAGGAGCGAAAGCGUGGGGAGCGAACAGG